This 353-nucleotide long non-coding RNA is filed under the name Sinocyclocheilus grahami. RNAcentral's name for it is "lncRNA (ENSSGRG00000007193.1)". The record is from RNAcentral. Lineage: Eukaryota; Metazoa; Chordata; Actinopteri; Cypriniformes; Cyprinidae.
GCUAGUUUGAAGAUAAGAAUGAUAUAAUAUUGUGGUGACUUUUAUUUUGACGCGCGAGUGCAGAGCGCUCACUUCCGGUGCCGGUUAAGUGUUUCCUGGAGACGAGCUGCGGCUGUUUUGAAAAGAACAUGAAGCACGACUCUGACUCUGAUCUCGACGAAAGAAUCGAAACAUUGAAGCAGAAGUAUGCUCAGAGGCGCAACCAGGCUCCAGACGCGUCUGCUGAUGGACACACGCCAGACCACCGCACGGCUCUCAGAGAGCGCUACAGGACGCGUUCUGACCUGCCACAGAGGUCAGGGGUCAGGGGUCAGGGGUCAUCUGCUGUAGUUAAGCUGGCUUGAGAAAGAUCU